CCUACAGGUGGCUGCAGUGGGGAAUAUUGGACAAUGGGCGAAAGCCUGAUCCAGCCAUGCCGCGUGUGUGAAGAAGGCCUUCGGGUUGUAAAGCACUUUCAGUGGGGAAGAAAGCCUUGGGGCUAAUACCCUCGAGGAAGGACAUCACCCACAGAAGAAGCACCGGCUAACUCCGUGCCAGCAGCCGCGGUAAUACGGAGGGUGCGAGCGUUAAUCGGAAUUACUGGGCGUAAAGCGCGCGUAGGCGGUCUGAUAAGCCGGUUGUGAAAGCCCCGGGCUCAACCUGGGAACGGCAUCCGGAACUGUCAGGCUAGAGUGCAGGAGAGGAAGGUAGAAUUCCCGGUGUAGCGGUGAAAUGCGUAGAGAUCGGGAGGAAUACCAGUGGCGAAGGCGGCCUUCUGGACUGACACUGACGCUGAGGUGCGAAAGCGUGGGUAGCAAACAGGAUUAGAUACCCCUGUAGUC
RNAcentral lists this ribosomal RNA (465 nucleotides) under Vreelandella stevensii. Its description in RNAcentral is "partial 16S ribosomal RNA". It matches the Rfam family "Bacterial small subunit ribosomal RNA", at positions 338 to 795 of the family's 1533-position model. The record is from RNAcentral. Lineage: Bacteria; Pseudomonadati; Pseudomonadota; Gammaproteobacteria; Oceanospirillales; Halomonadaceae.